RNAcentral lists this ribosomal RNA (460 nucleotides) under uncultured bacterium. RNAcentral's name for it is "partial 16S ribosomal RNA". It matches the Rfam family "Bacterial small subunit ribosomal RNA", at positions 338 to 795 of the family's 1533-position model. The record is from RNAcentral.
CCUACGGGAGGCAGCAGUGAGGAAUAUUGGUCAAUGGGCGUAAGCCUGAACCAGCCAAGUCGCGUGAGGGAUGAAGGUUCUAUGGAUCGUAAACCUCUUUUAUAAGGGAAUAAAGUGCGGGACGUGUCCCGUUUUGUAUGUACCUUAUGAAUAAGGAUAGGCUAACCCAGUGCCAGCAGCCGCGGUAAUACGGAGGAUCCGAGCGUUAACCGGAUUUGUUGGGUUUAAAGGGUGCGUAGGGGGGUUUUUAAGUCAGCGGUGAAAGUCAGUGGCUCAACCAUAGAAUCGCCGUUGAUACUGGGAGGCUUGAGUAUGUUUGAGGCAGGCGGAAUGCGUGGUGUAGCGGUGAAAUGCUUAGAUAUCACGCAGAACCCCGAUUGCGAAGGCAGCCUACCAAGCCAUGACUGACGCUGAUGCACGAAAGCGUGGGGAGCAAACAGGAUUAGAUACCCCGGUAGUC